This is a long non-coding RNA of Myotis myotis, 202 nucleotides long. RefSeq lists it as uncharacterized. The transcript has 3 exons. The record is from RefSeq and is a predicted model, not a curated record. Lineage: Eukaryota; Metazoa; Chordata; Mammalia; Chiroptera; Vespertilionidae.
GCUGGCGAGACAGUUUACAGCCGGGAAGAGCAGAACUCCCCUGGAAAGCUUGCUCUAGUCUAUCACAGAGCAGGUGAUGGGUCUGAGCUCCUCUGCCAGCGAAGGGACUUCUUGGAUGCCGGGGACUGGAAGAAGACAUGAGCAGCCGCAGGCUUGGGAAAAAUACUGACAAGACACCUCCUUAGGACAUCUGCUGGACUGA